GAGAAAAUCAUCAGAAAGUUGUCGGCAAAAUGGACCCCAAUAAUGUGAAUGUUGUAGCCCAAGGCUCUCAAACAGUAUCUGUGACGUCCAGUGGCACAGAUCUCAGCCAGGAUGUCGUAUUUGAUCCUAAUCCUUAUUGCCCUGACAAACCGUGUCCACCAGGACAAAGCGGCAGCGAAGGAAAAGGACACCAUUAAAAAAAUGUGAUGGAGAAGGUCGCUACGAACAGAUGACAAACCAUGGUUGUUAAACCAGCGAGAAAGAGGAGAGACGAAUCACAGAAAGUUAAACACUAUGCAGUCGUACCUUUCAUUUUUUUUUAUUUAAAAAAGGUAUAUUUAAUCUCUAAUGAUAUUUCUGAUGUUCAUUUACCAUUUCAAGGAGAAUGUUGUUGCAGAGAACAGAAAAGUUGUUAGCCGUUUAAACGCUGCAUUAAUAAAUAAAGUCACUAUCUGAAAACUUA
Molecule: long non-coding RNA, 463 nt
Organism: Pocillopora damicornis (cauliflower coral)
Lineage: Eukaryota; Metazoa; Cnidaria; Anthozoa; Scleractinia; Pocilloporidae
Source: RefSeq, a predicted model, not a curated record